This 384-nucleotide ribosomal RNA is filed under the name uncultured bacterium. RNAcentral describes it as "bacterial SSU rRNA". It matches the Rfam family "Bacterial small subunit ribosomal RNA", at positions 29 to 416 of the family's 1533-position model. The record is from RNAcentral.
AUUGAACGCUGGCGGAAUGCUUUACACAUGCAAGUCGAACGGCAGCACGGGGCAACCUGGUGGCGAGUGGCGAACGGGUGAGUAAUACAUCGGAACGUGCCCAAUCGUGGGGGAUAACGUAGCGAAAGUUACGCUAAUACCGCAUACGAUCUACGGAUGAAAGCGGGGGAUCGCAAGACCUCGCGCGAAUGGAGCGGCCGAUGUCAGAUUAGGUAGUUGGUGGGGUAAAGGCUCACCAAGCCGACGAUCUGUAGCUGGUCUGAGAGGACGACCAGCCACACUGGGACUGAGACACGGCCCAGACUCUUACGGGAGGCAGCAGUGGGGAAUUUUGGACAAUGGGCGAAAGCCUGAUCCAGCAAUGCCGCGUGCAGGAUGAAGGCC